UGGAGGGUAAUUUAAUCUGGAAAAAUAGCAGUCUGCAAAACUGAAGAAUGCGGGUUCGAGGCCCUGCCCCUCCAC
Molecule: transfer RNA, 75 nt
Filed under: Filimonas zeae
Lineage: Bacteria; Pseudomonadati; Bacteroidota; Chitinophagia; Chitinophagales; Chitinophagaceae
Description: tRNA-Cys
Rfam family: tRNA
About the family: Transfer RNA (tRNA) molecules are approximately 80 nucleotides in length. Their secondary structure includes four short double-helical elements and three loops (D, anti-codon, and T loops).
Source: RNAcentral